CCGAUUGUUGUAGACUCCGCGUCGAUCGAUGCGAUUAUGUGUUCGUUGGUCGAUCUCGGUGAGUUGCCGUCGAUCGAUUUUGCCUUUGUCCUGUCGAUCGAUGCUGAUAUCUGAUGUUGAGCUGCGAGUUGCCUCUGAAUGGCUUUGACUUCUUUCUGUAGCCAUUCUGCGUGGUUGUCUAGUCCACUGAUUUUGUUGUCGAAUGGAAAGUAGAUGUCAUCG
Molecule: long non-coding RNA, 222 nt
Filed under: Brassica napus (rape)
Lineage: Eukaryota; Viridiplantae; Streptophyta; Magnoliopsida; Brassicales; Brassicaceae
Description: long non-coding RNA (BNAP_LNC009596)
Source: RNAcentral